RNAcentral lists this ribosomal RNA (467 nucleotides) under uncultured bacterium. RNAcentral's name for it is "partial 16S ribosomal RNA". It matches the Rfam family "Bacterial small subunit ribosomal RNA", at positions 28 to 507 of the family's 1533-position model. The record is from RNAcentral.
GAUGAACGCUGACAGAAUGCUUAACACAUGCAAGUCAACUUGAAUUUGGGUUUUUAACUUAGGUUUGGGUGGCGGACGGGUGAGUAACGCGUAAAGAACUUGCCUCCCAGCUAGGGACAACAUUUGGAAACGAAUGCUAAUACCUAAUAUUAUGAUAAUAGGGCAUCCUAUAAUUAUGAAAGCUAUAAGCGCUGUGAGAGAGCUUUGCGUCCCAUUAGCUAGUUGGAGAGGUAACGGCUCACCAAGGCGAUGAUGGGUAGCCGGUCUGAGAGGGUGAUCGGCCACAAGGGGACUGAGACACGGCCCUUACUCCUACGGGAGGCAGCAGUGGGGAAUAUUGGACAAUGGACCGAGAGUCUGAUCCAGCAAUUCUGUGUGCACGAUGAAGUUUUUCGGAAUGUAAAGUGCUUUCAGUUGGGAAGAAACAAAUGACGGUACCAACAGAAGAAGUGACGGCUAAAUACGUG